CUCUGACUAGUACAUUUAGGCCACUCC
This 27-nucleotide non-coding RNA is filed under the name Mus musculus (house mouse). Lineage: Eukaryota; Metazoa; Chordata; Mammalia; Rodentia; Muridae. The record is from RNAcentral.